UUCUCAACCCGAUGUUCGUCAUU
This 23-nucleotide non-coding RNA is filed under the name Drosophila melanogaster (fruit fly). The record is from RNAcentral. Lineage: Eukaryota; Metazoa; Arthropoda; Insecta; Diptera; Drosophilidae.